Rattus norvegicus (Norway rat) is the source of this 70-nucleotide non-coding RNA. The record is from Rfam. NCBI's taxonomy places the organism in Eukaryota, Metazoa, Chordata, Mammalia, Rodentia, Muridae.
GGGGGUUUAGCUCAGUGGUAGAGCGCUUGCCUUGCAAGCGCAAGGCCCUGGGUUCGGUCCCCCAGCUCCG